Molecule: long non-coding RNA, 231 nt
Organism: Oreochromis niloticus (Nile tilapia)
Lineage: Eukaryota; Metazoa; Chordata; Actinopteri; Cichliformes; Cichlidae
Exons: 3
Source: RefSeq, a predicted model, not a curated record
CGCGCAUGAGGAUAUCACCAGCUCCUGAAACACAAGACUGCCACACAUCUGUUCGACCAACGCCAGUUGAUCUAAACGCCAGUUGAUCUGGAACACCGGCAGUGUAGACUUCGUGGCCCAACAUAUCCCAGACUUUAUAGCGCGGCGGUGGUUGUGGAUAAUGGCGGAAGCGGAGCGACCGAAGAGUAAACUUUUAAAACUUAUCACACAUUUGAUUUCCAUGUGUGACAA